AGAGUUUGAUCCUGGCUCAGAACGAACGUUGGCGGCGUGCUUAACACAUGCAAGUCGUACGAGAAAGUUCCUUCGGGGACGAGUAAAGUGGCGCACGGGUGAGUAACACGUAGAUAAUCUGUCCAGGUGUUUGGGAUAGCCCUUCGAAAGGGGGAUUAAUACCGAAUACGUUAGUCUACCAUAAGGUGGAUUAAGAAAGGUGGCCUCUAUUUAUAAGCUAUCGCAUUUGGAGGAGUCUGCGUACCAUUAGUUUGUUGGUGGGUAAUGGCCUACCAAGACUUCGAUGGUUAGCGGGUCUGAGAGGAUGAUCCGUCACACUGGCACUGAAACACGGGCCAGACUCCUACGGGAGGCAGCAGUGAGGAAUAUUGCGCAAUGGGGGAAACCCUGACGCAGCGACGCCGCGUGGGUGAGGAAGGCUUUCGGGUCGUAAAGCCCUGUCAGGUGGGAAGAAAUGGUUAUAGGCUAAUACCUUAUAGUUUUGACG
This 487-nucleotide ribosomal RNA is filed under the name uncultured bacterium. RNAcentral describes it as "bacterial SSU rRNA". It matches the Rfam family "Bacterial small subunit ribosomal RNA", at positions 8 to 474 of the family's 1533-position model. The record is from RNAcentral.